This 263-nucleotide ribosomal RNA is filed under the name uncultured bacterium. Its description in RNAcentral is "partial 16S ribosomal RNA". It matches the Rfam family "Bacterial small subunit ribosomal RNA", at positions 57 to 305 of the family's 1533-position model. The record is from RNAcentral.
GCAAGUCGAACGAGAAAGUCACUUCGGUGGCGAGUAGAGUGGCGCACGGGUGAGUAACGCGUAGGUGACAUGCCUAGUAGUGGAGGACAACCUCGUGAAAACGGGGCUAAUACUGCAUAUUUUCGCUGAAAUUAAAAAAAAGCGAGCAAAGAGGGCCUCUUCUUGAAAGCUAUCGCUACUAGAUUGGCCUGCGGGACAUUAGCUUGUUGGUGGGGUAGCGGCCUACCAAGGCGACGAUGUCUAACUGGUCUGAGAGGAUGAUC